RNAcentral lists this transfer RNA (73 nucleotides) under Bacteroidales bacterium. Its description in RNAcentral is "tRNA-Met". It matches the Rfam family "tRNA". From Rfam's summary of the family: Transfer RNA (tRNA) molecules are approximately 80 nucleotides in length. Their secondary structure includes four short double-helical elements and three loops (D, anti-codon, and T loops). Further hydrogen bonds mediate the characteristic L-shaped molecular structure. tRNAs have two regions of fundamental functional importance: the anti-codon, which is responsible for specific mRNA codon recognition, and the 3' end, to which the tRNAs corresponding amino acid is attached (by aminoacyl-tRNA synthetases). tRNAs cope with the degeneracy of the genetic code in two manners: having more than one tRNA (with a specific anti-codon) for a particular amino acid; and 'wobble' base-pairing, i.e. permitting non-standard base-pairing at the 3rd anti-codon position. The record is from RNAcentral. Lineage: Bacteria; Pseudomonadati; Bacteroidota; Bacteroidia; Bacteroidales.
AGCGGAGUAGAGCAGUGACCGGCUCGUUGGCAACAUAAGCCAAAGGUCGCAGGUUUGAAUCCUGCCUCCGCAA